CCCACUGUCCCUGCAAGGGGUCAUACAGCAAGCUGCUUCCCCAGCCAGUCAAGAGGUCCAAAUAACGCUCGCUUAUUUGCAAAUAGUGAGCAGCUAACGAAGCAAGAAGAGAGCCCGGGAGCUGCUGACAGAAGGCAGCAAACCUCUCCGAGUCCUCCAGCAGCCAGGAAAGCAGGGGGCCAGCCCCCGCUUCCUCCUCCUGCUGGCGGCCUCCCCCCUGCCGCACCAGCAGCAGCGCUGCCGCCACCACUCGGAAGGCUCUGGGCUGGGGCAGCUGCUGCAGGACCCCCCCGAGCCAGAGGGGCUCCCCCGGCGGGGAGCUGCGGAGCGGCUCCAGCAGGCAGCAGGCGGCUUUCCUGCGGGCCAGCAGCGCCAGGCGGCCGGGCCGGGCGGCGGGGGGCUGCAGCAGGCGCUGGAGGAGGCGGCGGCAGGCGGCAGGAGGCAGGGCGCGGUUCUCCAGCAGCGCCAGGCCCAGCAGCUCGGCGCAGCGGCCCAGCUGCCCGAAGGCGAGCGGGGAACCGGGCCGGGCCCUCCGCAGCCGCUGCCCCACGGCGUGGCGGAGCCGGGGCCGGGCGCGGAGGCGGUCGUGGAGGUGCUGGAAGUAGCGGCCCCAGUCCAGGGCCCGCUCCAGGGUCGGCGGGUCCCAGGCGCGCACCAGCGCGGAGCGGCAAACAGCCAGCAGCGCCGGCAGCUGCUCCACCUGCCCCAGCACCGCCUCCAUCGCCCCGCCGCAAGCCGAGCCCGCCGCUGCCCCUCAGCACCGCCUCCCGGAGCCGAUCGGAGCCGAUCCGAGGCGGCAAGGGAGGGGUUAGGGGCGGCAUUGGCCGAGCCGGGCGUCAAUCCGCUGCCUUCCCAUAAAAGGGGACGGGGCGGGCGCCGCCGCCAUUCCGUGACGGGGAGAGGGGGUUGGGGGGUUGUGGCGCUCCACGAGGAGGGAAUAUAAACGUUAAAAAAUAAACCGAACGCACUUGUGAUGCCUAAACGCAAUUUAAAGAAGUGGAAGCUGUUCACGAGCACACUGUGCGGGGGUAUUUGGCAUCUCCAGGGUGGCCGUGUGGCCAGCCGUGGUGUCCCCGCUGGGGCUGGCUCCCAGCCCGCAGCCAAACCCUGCUCACCUGCACCCUGUGGUGCCUCACUGCUAACUCCCUGUCAGCUAUGCCCCAGCUGGCUGCCUUCAACAAAGCACCGUGUCCGUGCCUCGGAUAGAAAAGCCUCUUGUAGCUGAGGGAGCUCUGGGCUGCCACCCUGUCCUCUCAGAGGGAAAAAAAUCUGGAAGGUUCCCUCACAGGCAUUCCCCAUGGGGGCAACUUGAGCAACACCUCACACAAGCCACGGUGUAAACAUGCCAGAACUGCUUGUACACAGCGAUAGGAGAAAGGCCCUCCCUGCCUCCCCUUCCCACCUGCGCCAGCAGGAGCUGAAGGCCAUUUCUCCACAGUGCACCAAAAAAAAAAAAAAAAAAAAAAACCACAAAAAUAAAACAAAACACAGCACAACCUGGCAUACCUGUGAGACCAGCAGCUCAGAAGGACUUUCUUCAUGCCCAUGUCCUGAAGAGCACCUCACGGAGAACAGCGCCUUGCCCUCCGUCUCGUCCCUGUGAGGGCCGUGCACACGGCACUGCCUCACCACAGAGCCCGGCCAGCUUCCAGCACCUUCCAUCGGGCGGCUCCUGAGGGCUGGGGAGGCUGCAGGCCUGCAGUGUGGGGCACUCCUCCUGUGUGGGGCACACAGAAUUGGUCUAGAAACAGUAGUAAAACCCAAAAUUCAAGGACAAAGAAUAACGCUCUUCUUCAGCGGAGGCCCUGUUUGAUUUUCUUUUCUUUCCAUACACCCUAGCGCUGAAUAUAGCUCUGUAUGGUGCUGAAUAUAUUCCCCCUCUACUCUACCCUCAUGAGACCCUACCUAGAGUACUACAACCACGUUUGGGGCCCCCAGCACAAGAAAGUUGAGGACCUGUGAGGGCAAGCCCAGUGGAGGGCCACGAAGGUGACCAGAGAGCUCUCUCCUACAAAGAGAGGCUGAGAGAACUGGGGCCGUUCAGCCCAAAGAAGAGAAGGCCCUGUGAAGGCCCCAUUGUGGCCUCUGAAUACUUAAAGUUGGUUUAUGAAGAAGGAUUCUUUGCUCAGGUAGAUAAUGAUAGGACAAAGGGGAAUGGUGUUAUCCCUGGAAUUGUUCAAGGCCAAGCUAGAUAGGACCUUGGUCAGCCUGAUUUAGCGUGUGGCAUCCCCACCUCUGUCAGAAAAGUUGGAACUACGUGAUCUUGAAGAUCCCUUCCAAUCCAAGCCAUUCUGUAGCUUCCUUGGGGUUUUCUAACACACACCAAUUGUUCCCUGGGCACAGACCCCACUCCUAAAGACAACUUCUAGUCAUUAAGGACCAGCUUUAAUGACAUACUGCCUCCAAAAUAAAUCAACUUAAAAUAAACCAAUCUAAACAGAAGCAUGGGUACUAACCUUUGCUACUAAAAUCUUUUUCUAGACUGCUCAAGGAGGGUAGGUUAGGAACCUUCUGUCUUAAGUACCCUCAUGAAAACAUGUACCCUUUCACACCUGAGCGCCCUUACCCUGUUUUCUUAUUUCAGCCACCUAGUUAGGAAAGAAUGGGGUUCACCUGUAAAUUAAGGGCCUAAUACCAAGAAUUACUGAGUGAAAUCCUAUGGCCAUUGUUGUUGAAGGAGAAUGGUAUCUCUCAGUAUGUAUGAAUACCCUGUAAUAAACUGUAUCUCAUCUCUUUCUGAAUGAGAUGUUUUUGUACUGAAAAAUCUUUUAAGCUUUCCAUUGAUUGUUUCUAGAGUAAUAAAAAUAAGAUGUGCUAGGGUGUUGCAUUGACAAUAGAAUUAUUGCUUCUAUUGUUAAUCAGUUUAUACUUUCCUAUCAUCUACCAUGUCCAUCUAUUCCAAAGCAUAUUAGAAACUAAUAAAAAUUAAAGGAAAGAUGGAGCACACAAACUCUAGUCAUGUACAGUAAGUAGGUCUCUGUAGAGCUGCCUGAAAAAU
RNAcentral lists this long non-coding RNA (2998 nucleotides) under Anas zonorhyncha (Eastern spot-billed duck). RNAcentral describes it as "lncRNA (ENSAZOG00000008918.1)". Lineage: Eukaryota; Metazoa; Chordata; Aves; Anseriformes; Anatidae. The record is from RNAcentral.